AACGAACGCUGGCGGCGUGCCUAACACAUGCAAGUCGAACGAGAAAGGGGCUUCGGCUCCGAGUAAAGUGGCGCACGGGUGAGUAACACGUGGGUAACCUGCCUCUCAGAUUGUGAUAACUCGACGAAAGAUGAGCUCAUACCGAAUAAGACCACAGUUCCUGCGGGAACAGGGGUCAAAGGUAGCCUCUGCUUGCGAGCUAUCACUUAGAGAUGGGCCUGCGCACCAUUAGCUAGUUGGUAGGGUAACGGCCUAACAAGGCAAAGAUGGUUAGCUGGUACGGGAGGAAGGACCGCCAAAACGGAAACGAGACACGGUCCAGACUCCCACGGGAGGCAGGAGUGGGGAAUAUUGCGCAAUGGGCGAAAGCUUGACGCCGCAACGCCGCGUGAGGGAUGAAGGCCUUCGGGUCGUAAAGGCCUGUCGGGAGGAACGAAUGCUCAUGAGGUUAACAGCCUCGGGAGGUGACGGUACCUUAAAAAGAAGCACCGGCUAACUCUGUG
This 503-nucleotide ribosomal RNA is filed under the name uncultured bacterium. RNAcentral's name for it is "partial 16S ribosomal RNA". It matches the Rfam family "Bacterial small subunit ribosomal RNA", at positions 29 to 507 of the family's 1533-position model. The record is from RNAcentral.